Ochotona curzoniae (black-lipped pika) is the source of this 927-nucleotide long non-coding RNA. RefSeq lists it as uncharacterized. The record is from RefSeq and is a predicted model, not a curated record. NCBI's taxonomy places the organism in Eukaryota, Metazoa, Chordata, Mammalia, Lagomorpha, Ochotonidae. The transcript is spliced from 4 exons.
UUGUUUUCACCUGUAUUCCCUGGAAUACUCAUCUUUGUACCCUGCCUUUGGGUGCAGUGUAGGAAUGCAGAAGAAGUGUCUUGCUUAUACCUCUUAGGGGUUGUUCAGUUCAGAGAUAGGGGUCCUCCAUGAGGCUGAAAGCUACUGGCAAUAGGGAAGGAAGUACUGCUUUUGGAGAAAGAAUAUUGCUUUCAAGUAACAUGAGUCAAAUCAUUGGGGGUAGAUGCAUUAAUAACUUCUCAUCUGGACUGAAUGUGUUUAGAAAACUGAUUGGGAGCUCACAAAUGGAUUUUCUGUUUUUAUUCCUUUUGCCCUAAAAAUCAUCAAGGUUCAACCAUGAAAAUGAUCUUCCAUCAAACCCGACUUUGCAAGAAAGCACUUUCUGAAGCAGCAUCCGUCAGUGUAGAACAUGUGGGGUAGAUGUGGCCAGAGUGUGUGGCGUAAUUGGAAUGUUCCCUGCGCAGCAGCCUUGCCUGUGAAGGUCACUGAGAGGAGCAGAGUCCUUCCAGCAGCCCAUCUCCUGAAGAACCCAGGCAAGGUCUUUGAAGAUGUGCAUGUUCACUAUCAGCAGUAAAAUGGCAAAAUGCGGAAAUGUUAAAGCAACUCCACAGAGCCAAACUCCCAGAAACAAGUACGCUCUGUCCACCUUAGUCCAAUGCAUAUAGCUGCUCUGGCACAACCAGCAUGGAGUCUCCCAUCAAAAGAGACUUGUUCACUGUUCGUGUCCUGAUGGAUCACUCCACGAUGAGUGUGUGCCAGCCAGUUCUAGCUGGGCGUUCUGUUACUUGGUUAGUUCUUCAGGCUGAGAGGGCUUGGAGGAGAAGCACAUUUAGAGAAGGAGUUACGGAUGGAAAACAGCUGAAGACAAGUCGAUGGCGUGAGUCACAUGAUCCUGAGGUAAAGCAAAAAAUAAUAACAAUUAGACUU